Molecule: long non-coding RNA, 935 nt
Organism: Hippocampus comes (tiger tail seahorse)
Lineage: Eukaryota; Metazoa; Chordata; Actinopteri; Syngnathiformes; Syngnathidae
Exons: 3
Source: RefSeq, a predicted model, not a curated record
UCAGGAUUUUGUGCAUUUCAUCAUAGUUAUUAUUAUUCAGGAAUGGGUGAGCACCAAUGUCAGGUAUCGAUCGGUCUAACCUUAUUUUUCGGUACCUGUAGAUACCGCCCAUACCAGCCACCGGAAUAAGUCCUCCUCGGCACUAUCCUGCGGCCGUUUGACACACGAGCGAAUGAAUCAUCAUCUGCGCUGCAAAGAAAGGCUGACUUUGGCUCAUUUCCAAAGGCUCUUCCUCUUAUGAGGCAGGGGCGGGUGGACCGAAAUAUUGCGGCACGCUCCUUUGAACAUCUGGCGAGCGUCAAGAGCGCCACGCAGGGCCUCCACCGGACCCCGGGUCAUCUGUCAGGCCGCUGACAGCGCCACACGCUGUUCAGAGUGAGAUUUUCAGUAUGGCUGCUUGGCAGUCAUCGCUCAAAUUAUGCCAGCAUGCGAUUUUCGAAAUGAAUACCGAUGUAUCUUGUGAGAAUGAAUCGAAAUGAAGGAUCGAAGAGCAGAUCCCGAGGUGCGCCGCUCGCCGAAUGAAAACGCAGCCUCGGUUUCCCCGGCAUCCGUCAACGUCCACUUUGGAGUGCCGCUUCGCCGUCGCCCCCUUUCAACGAUAGCGCUCGCCCCCUCCCGCCCCGCCGAGCUCUACCUCUCCCCUUCGACUUCCCUCCACCCCCCCGUCUGAUAUUGGCUCAUCACACUUAAUCUGUCCUGAGAUCUGCCGUUCUGUGCUAAAUGACUCGCAGCCCGCGGGCCGGGGCGCCCGCGAACGAGGGGAGAUAUUUAUUUUUCUCAGGGCUAAUGACCUGUCGCCGGGCCCCGCCCACUGAUGGUUAUUUACUGGGGCCCAGAUGCUGGCGCUCAAAAUGAGUGGUCAUGUCAGCAAGGGCCGCCAUCCUUCACAGACCCACCUCCACCCCUCGCGCCCCACCAAAAGCCCCCCCCCCUCG